GGCUCAGGACGAACGCUGGCGGCGUGCCUAAUACAUGCAAGUCGAGCGGACAGAUGGGAGCUUGCUCCCUGAUGUUAGCGGCGGACGGGUGAGUAACACGUGGGUAACCUGCCUGUAAGACUGGGAUAACUCCGGGAAACCGGGGCUAAUACCGGAUGGUUGUUUGAACCGCAUGGUUCAAACAUAAAAGGUGGCUUCGGCUACCACUUACAGAUGGACCCGCGGCGCAUUAGCUAGUUGGUGAGGUAAUGGCUCACCAAGGCAACGAUGCGUAGCCGACCUGAGAGGGUGAUCGGCCACACUGGGACUGAGACACGGCCCAGACUCCUACGGGAGGCAGCAGUAGGGAAUCUUCCGCAAUGGACGAAAGUCUGACGGAGCAACGCCGCGUGAGUGAUGAAGGUUUUCGGAUCGUAAAGCUCUGUUGUUAGGGAAGAACAAGUACCGUUCGAAUAGGGCGGUACCUUGACGGUACCUAACCAGAAAGCCACGGCUAACUACGUGCCAGCAGCCGCGGUAAUACGUAGGUGGCAAGCGUUGUCCGGAAUUAUUGGGCGUAAAGGGCUCGCAGGCGGUUUCUUAAGUCUGAUGUGAAAGCCCCCGGCUCAACCGGGGAGGGUCAUUGGAAACUGGGGAACUUGAGUGCAGAAGAGGAGAGUGGAAUUCCACGUGUAGCGGUGAAAUGCGUAGAGAUGUGGAGGAACACCAGUGGCGAAGGCGACUCUCUGGUCUGUAACUGACGCUGAGGAGCGAAAGCGUGGGGAGCGAACAGGAUUAGAUACCCUGGUAGUCCACGCCGUAA
RNAcentral lists this ribosomal RNA (802 nucleotides) under Bacillus sp. (in: firmicutes). Its description in RNAcentral is "bacterial SSU rRNA". It matches the Rfam family "Bacterial small subunit ribosomal RNA", at positions 21 to 805 of the family's 1533-position model. Lineage: Bacteria; Bacillati; Bacillota; Bacilli; Caryophanales; Bacillaceae. The record is from RNAcentral.